This 449-nucleotide long non-coding RNA is filed under the name Lathyrus oleraceus (garden pea). Its description in RNAcentral is "Pisum sativum (pea) long non-coding RNA (PSAT_LNC040647)". Lineage: Eukaryota; Viridiplantae; Streptophyta; Magnoliopsida; Fabales; Fabaceae. The record is from RNAcentral.
AAAUGUGAUUGAGUUGUGGAAAUGAUGAAAUGUUGAAGUUAAACCCAUGAAAUUUGAUUGAAUUGUGUGAAUAAUGAAAAUGUUGUUGUUAAACCCAUGUAAUUUGAUUGAAUUAUGUGAAUGAUGAAUAUUUUGUUGUUAAACCCAUAAGAUUUGAUUGAAUUGUUUGAAUGAUGACAAUUUUGUUGUUAAACCCAUGAAAUUUGAUUAAAUUGUGUGAAUGAUGAUAAUGUUGUUGUUAAACCCAUGAAAUUUGAUUGAAUUGUGGGAAUGAUGAAAAAAUAUGAUGUUAAACCCAUGAAAUUUGAUUGAAUUGUGGGAAUGAUGAAAAUGUUGAUGUUAAACCCAUGAAAUUUGAUUGAAUUGUGGGAAUGAUGAAAAUGAUGGUGUUAAACCCAUGAAAUUUGAUUGAAUUAUGGGAAUGAUAAAAAAUUUGUUGUUAAACCCAU